Long non-coding RNA from Vulpes vulpes (red fox), 1830 nucleotides. Lineage: Eukaryota; Metazoa; Chordata; Mammalia; Carnivora; Canidae. The record is from Ensembl.
GCCAGAAUGAAGGGAAUCUGUAUUACAGGAUGUUUUAUUAAUACUUAAUGGAAAGAGCCAAAAACCUUUUGCCACUUGGCAGUUGUGAAAUAAGCCUUUUUAGCCAAUGAUAAGAACAGGAUGCUAUGUAAAUUAACACUUUGCACAGAAUUAAUGUAAGAUUUUCAAUCAUAGAACUGGCUCAGUGAGCACAAUGCAUUGGUUGGCACUAGUUAAAUGGUGUUUUAUGCCAUUUUUUAAAUUAAAAAAAAACAGAAUUACAGGAAAGACAGAGUAGAUAAUAAAUGUUAUUGCAAGUUCUCUACACAGAUGUAAGGCCACUCUUACAGUUUGUCCAUCAAGAAUACUUAUCAAACACCCACUGGAUACUAAAUUUGAGCUGUGUGGAAGCCAUAGUUUCUACAGUUUCAUAAUGAACAUACAAAUUUGGGAAUGGCAAAGUCAUGUUGAUUGUGAUUCUAUACUGAAGGAUGUGAUGGUAUUAUUGGCCUUUGAGCUUUCUAUCAGACAAAGAAAAAUUUUUAAAAACUACAAAUAUUCACUCAGUUCCUACCAUAGGCACAGGCCUUACUAUGUACAGUGAGACAUACAAAGUUGAAUAAGAUCCAACUGCUAUUGUCAUAAGUGUCAUAAUCUAGUGCAGGAGACAGGGACAUACAUCAAUAACCCUUUUAUGAAGCUCAUAAAAAUCAAAUAUCAUAAUAGAAAUAAAAAACAUCAUUCUUUGGGGAUAUUUGAAACAGAGUGAUUCAUUCCAACAGGGAUAUAGUGAACAGAGAAGGCUCAUUAAAGAAAGUGGAAUCUGAAUGAGAGCCUUAAAAAGUAGGUAGUGCUUUGGAACAAUGUCUCCGUUCUAAGAAUAUCCAAACAGAAUGAGCAAACUAAGCAGGCUCUAGGAAUGGGAAACUAUGGGAAUAUUCCGGGAAGAAGGAACUGAAUGCUCUGUGAGAUCCUUUUGUUUAUUUUCCACAUCUUGCUGGCACAUUGUAAAAGCUCAAGAAAUGCUCUGAAGGAUGAAAUAGUGCGGGUUAAUGUGACAGCGAUUAGUCAGCGGGAAAAUCCAUCACCCAGGGCAGAACAGGCUGAGGCAGAAAAGGCCUCUACGCUGUCCUGUUUCCAACACGAGAAGAAUGAUACUAUCAACAUCACUUCAAUAUUAAAUGGAUAGAAUUAUCUUGUCAUUCAGUUACAGCCUCUGAAGAACUACCUAUUUGUACCUGCAAAGGAAAGGUCAGCCUUUCUUAAUCACCCAUAAAAAUAUGUUGAUGGAUUCUUUAUAUCAAUAAUAGUGACGGGAACAGAGACAAGAAAGAAGCAUGACAAUUUAAAAGCAAGAAGUUUCUCCCUCAAAUCCUUAUGGGUCUUGUCCCAUAAUUUCUACUUACAUUAGAAUCGAAUUUCAAAGUCCAAUUUGUUGAGAAGGACACUGGUGCUGGCUUCCUCUCCUUCCUCAGAUUAUUACACCCGACUCUGGUUUUGAGAGUAAAUUCUACCUUUGCCAAACUGUUCAAUGAAUACUCCUCGGAGUAAUUAUUCCUAAGCCUGUUUGUAAACUGCCUUUCCAGAUGCAGCAAGUUUGAAUUUUUUUUAAAACUUGGUGAUGUGCUAAUAAUCUAUCUGCUCUUCAUUAAAGCUGUUAGUAGAGUUCACUUUAAAGUAUGUGAGGGGAGAGGAAGUCAUUGGUGACAUGGGCGGGCGCAACUAUUACAUCACUGAUACCCAUUCACAUAGUCAUCAUUCUAGUUUCUCAACUGACAGGAGGGUUAUAGAGAAAUCUUUUCUCUAUGUAAAAUAUGUAAAAAACACAAAAUCCUACUUUUUACUCUUUUU